This is a long non-coding RNA of Amphimedon queenslandica, 572 nucleotides long. RefSeq lists it as uncharacterized. NCBI's taxonomy places the organism in Eukaryota, Metazoa, Porifera, Demospongiae, Haplosclerida, Niphatidae. The record is from RefSeq and is a predicted model, not a curated record. The transcript is spliced from 3 exons.
AUUGCACAUGUUUCGUCAGCACAGCACUGAAUUAAAUUAAAAAUGGCUACUGGAUAUAGCAUAAUAUGGACCACCCACAAAUCCUCUGUCAAACAUUGUCACAGAUUUUUGUUCACUAGUUGUUCAGUGUUUGGUCUGAGUGACCUUUUUAGAAAAGUUGUCUUUGGGAAUGAAAAUGAAAGUCUAUUGCCCAACAAGACGAUAACUCCUAAAGAGCCCAAACUCCGUCCAUUAAUGACGAUUGGACUAGAAAUAGGAUUGAUCAUAAUUUGGAGAUGAAGAGCAAAAUCCUUUACGAGUGUGAGAAGCAGUUCCAGCGACAGGUACCCAGUAAUGCCCUAAAAGGCAUAUCAACUCUCGGGGACAUUGUGUCAUUCUUUCACACUCCUCCUGCCCCUCCCCUGGCCUUCUCCUCCCUGAUCUCAGAGACCAAUCAAAGCUGCCACAGAAUCUUUCAGUUGAACUGCCAAGCCAAGCAAAGCCCAGAGAGAGGGUUCCAUUUCAGAACUAUGACAAUCCUAAACACUCUCACUUUCCUAAUAAGAAAGAACUCCAGAAGCAGUACCAGGCAA